Molecule: ribosomal RNA, 1081 nt
Filed under: uncultured bacterium
Lineage: Bacteria
Description: bacterial SSU rRNA
Rfam family: Bacterial small subunit ribosomal RNA
Source: RNAcentral
AGAGUUUGAUCCUGGCUCAGAUUGAACGCUGGCGGCAUGCUUAAUACAUGCAAGUCGAACGGUAACAGGCAUCAGUGAUCCCUUCGGGGUGAUCUUGGCGCUGACGAGUGGCGAACGGGUGAGUAAUGCUUGGGAAUCUGCCCUGUUGUGGGGGACAACCCGAGGAAACUCGGGCUAAUACCGCGUAAGCUCCACGGAGGAAAGCGGGGGAUCUUCGGACCUCGCGCUACAGGAUGAGCCCAAGUCGGAUUAGCUUGUUGGUGGGGUAAUGGCCUACCAAGGCGACGAUCCGUAGCUGGUCUGAGAGGACGAUCAGCCACACUGGGACUGAGACACGGCCCAGACUCCUACGGGAGGCAGCAGUAGGGAAUAUUGGACAAUGGGCGCAAGCCUGAUCCAGCAAUGCCGCGUGUGUGAAGAAGGCCUGCGGGUUGUAAAGCACUUUCAGUGGGGAAGACAAACUCGGGGCUAAUACCCUCGGGUCUCGACGUUACCCACAGAAGAAGCACCGGCCAACUCCGUGCCAGCAGCCGCGGUAAUACGGAGGGUGCGAGCGUUAAUCGGAAUUACUGGGCGUAAAGCGCACGCAGGUGGCUGGGUCAGUCGGUUGUGAAAUCCCCGGGCUUAACCUGGGAAUUGCGAUCGAAACUGCCCGGCUAGAGUAUGGGAGAGGGAAGUGGAAUUCCCGGUGUAGCGGUGAAAUGCAUAGAUAUCGGGAGGAACACCAGUGGCGAAGGCGGCUUCCUGGCCCAAUACUGACACUCAGGUGCGAAAGCGUGGGGAGCAAACAGGAUUAGAUACCCUGGUAGUCCACGCCGUAAACGAUGAGAACUAGAUGUCGGGGGGGAUUGGCCCCUCGGUGUCGCAGCUAACGCAUUAAGUUCUCCGCCUGGGGAGUACGCCGGCAACGGUAAAACUCAAAGGAAUUGACGGGGACCCGCACAAGCGGUGGAGCAUGUGGUUUAAUUCGAUGCAACGCGAAGAACCUUACCUGCCCUUGACAUCCUCGGAACUUGGCAGAGAUGCCUUGGUGCCUUCGGGAACCGAGUGACAGGUGCUGCAUGGCUGUCGUCAGCUCGUG